UUAUCUAUUACCGGAUGUUAACAAAUAUUCCAAGUUGCCACAUAACCGCGGGCACGACUUUCCGAAAGAUUAAACCCAUGACGACUAUUCUCUAUUAUUACUAGUUAAAUGCCCGCGCGUUGCCACGGGACAACAUAACAAUGUUUUUUCGUUGCCCUCUUUAUUCUCGGUCCACUCCUUGCUCUAGCUUUGGUAUCACCACUCUACUUCAAUUCAUACAUUUUCACUAUGACGUGAUAAGCUAUCUCUUACUAUACUUGUCAUUUGUUGAUUUAUGGAUUGGUAACACUCAUAUGUAGGUGCGCGUUUUUGAACUAUUUGGAUUUUGGACUACCAGGCUAUUCAAAUAAAUGUUU
Molecule: long non-coding RNA, 356 nt
Filed under: Hordeum vulgare
Lineage: Eukaryota; Viridiplantae; Streptophyta; Magnoliopsida; Poales; Poaceae
Description: long non-coding RNA (HVUL_LNC015067)
Source: RNAcentral